AGAUAAUUCAACAGUAUCAGGACACUGAAAAGGACGUACUGCAGAAGAUUCUGAUGCAUCCAAAGGGCAUAAUGCUGUGGUCUAAGAAAACCUUGUCAGUUUUUCAUCAAAGAUGCAAAGAAGACAUUGUGUACUUUGAUGCCACUGGAAGUAUAAUAAGAAAAGAAAGUGCUGGAAGGCCACCAUAUUAUGUGUAUGAGUUGGUUGUCAGAAACCCAUCCAAAGGUGCUUCUCCUCUUCCAGUUGCUACAUAUGUCACAUGUGACCACACUACUGCCUCUGUGACAUACUUCUUGCAGGCCUUUCAGACUGAUCUGGUAAGAGCAUUUGGUAAUCGGGCCUACAACAGGCCUGUCAUGUUCAUGUGUGAUGGAUCCCUAGUACUCCUUCGAUCCAUUUCCAUGACAUUCUGCAGAACAAGUCUAGAGGAUCUGCUGCAGAAGUACUAUGUCUUACUCACUGGCCAGCAUUCAGCACAGCAAUUCAACAUUCCCAUUCUUCAUCGAUGUUUGAGCCAUGUCAUGAAAAAUGCCAAGGACCUUUGUAAAAAACACAUUCCAGAGAACUACAGGCUUGGAAUGCAUGUGUUUGGGCUCCUUGCGUGCUGUGAUAACUUAAAAGACAUGGAUGAUGUUGUCCAUAGUGCAGCAAUAGUGUUUUGCAGUCCUUGUAGUGGAAGGAACGUAACAAAACACUACAACAACUUGAAAAUCCUUAUGCAAAAAAGGGGACCCUGGAUUUGGAUGAAAAGACUGUGAUUGCUGAGGACUACAAGACUGAUGUUCAGAAUGCCCCCUUGAAGACCCAUUUCCAGGCAAUUGUUGACAAUGCAACACUGGACUGUGAGGGUGAAAGAAACAUCUUUCAUGCACCCAAAUUUAUUGCCGGUCUGGUAAAUCACCUUCUACCACAUGCAACUUUGUGGUCAUCAAUGAUGCUCGGGGAUCUUGGACGUCAUGGUACUGGUCCUGCUUACCAGCAGCUCAGUAAACUCUAUAGUGACAUUCAGCAAUCCAAGAACCAGAAUUUUACACAAGACAACAGAACCCAAGGAAUCAUGGAGAAAAGCCAGUGGGAUUUGAAAAAAUCCGUAUCCAGAGAAGGAGACUGACAAGGCUUGAUGACUUUGUGGAAAUUUAUC
This is a long non-coding RNA of Oreochromis aureus, 1141 nucleotides long. NCBI's taxonomy places the organism in Eukaryota, Metazoa, Chordata, Actinopteri, Cichliformes, Cichlidae. The record is from Ensembl.